AAUGAACGCUGGCGGCAUGCCUUACACAUGCAAGUCGAACGGCAGCAUGACCUAGCUUGCUAGGUUGAUGGCGAGUGGCGAACGGGUGAGUAAUGCAUCGGAACGUGCCUUUUAGUGGGGGAUAACGUAGCGAAAGUUACGCUAAUACCGCAUAUUCUCUGAGGAGGAAAGCAGGGGACCUUCGGGCCUUGCGCUAGAAGAGCGGCCGAUGUCGGAUUAGCUAGUUGGUGAGGUAAAGGCUCACCAAGGCAACGAUCCGUAGCGGGUCUGAGAGGAUGAUCCGCCACACUGGGACGGAGACACGCCCAAGACUCCUGCGGGGGGAAGCAGUGGGGAAUUUGGGACAAUGGGGGCAACCCUGCUCCAGCCAUGCCGCGUGAGUGAAGAAGGCCUUGGGGUUGAAAAGCUCUUUGGGCUGGGAAGAAACCCCCCCCUCUAAUACGGGGUGGGGAUGACGGUACCAGAAGAAGAAGCACCGGCUAACUACGUG
This 490-nucleotide ribosomal RNA is filed under the name uncultured bacterium. RNAcentral describes it as "partial 16S ribosomal RNA". It matches the Rfam family "Bacterial small subunit ribosomal RNA", at positions 29 to 507 of the family's 1533-position model. The record is from RNAcentral.